This 515-nucleotide ribosomal RNA is filed under the name uncultured bacterium. RNAcentral describes it as "partial 16S ribosomal RNA". It matches the Rfam family "Bacterial small subunit ribosomal RNA", at positions 28 to 523 of the family's 1533-position model. The record is from RNAcentral.
GAUGAACGCUGGCGGCGUGCCUAAUUCAUGCAAGUCGAGCGAAUGGAUUAAGAGCUUGCUCUUAUGAAGUUAGCGGCGGACGGGUGAGUAACACGUGGGUAACCUGCCCAUAAGACUGGGAUAACUCCGGGAAACCGGGGCUAAUACCGGAUAACGUUUUGAACCGCAUGGUUCGAAAUUGAAAGGCGGCUUCGGCUGUCACUUAUGGAUGGACCCGCGUCGCAUUAGCUAGUUGGUGAGGUAACGGCUCACCAAGGCAACGAUGCGUAGCCGACCUGGGAGGGUGAGCGGCAACACUGGGACUGAGACACGGCCCAGACUCCUACGGGAGGCAGCAGUAGGGAAUCUUCCGCAAUGGACGAAAGUCUGACGGAGCAACGCCGCGUGAGUGAUGAAGGCUUUCGGGUCGUAAAACUCUGUUGUUAGGGAAGAACAAGUGCUAGUUGAAUAAGCUGGCACCUUGACGGUACCUAACCAGAAAGCCACGGCUAACUACGUGCCAGCCGCCGCGGUAA